AUCUAGCUGAUGAAUCCCGAAAUAGGACGAAACGCAUGUCCUAGGAU
This 47-nucleotide non-coding RNA is filed under the name Schistosoma mansoni. The record is from RNAcentral. Lineage: Eukaryota; Metazoa; Platyhelminthes; Trematoda; Strigeidida; Schistosomatidae.